GGGGAUGAAACGGCUUCGACAGGGAAGUGAUCGGUUUCAGACUGCGGGUCGAGCUGUUCUAACUCGUUAAACUGGGCAAAAACAUUAAUUGCCGAGAAAGUAUUUGCUUCCGGUCGCUCCUUCAACGCGCUGCCCCUCGCGGCAUAGUUGCGUAAGGAGUAACAUCUGACUCCAUUCGUGAGUCACGUCUGUGCAUCUGCUUUUCCCCGAGAGCGGAGUACGGAUGUCAGAUAAUUCGGGGUGCACUAGCACGACGUCGAUAAAUGUUAGUUAAGAUCCAUCGACUGGUUUGGGUGGACUUCGGUGCCUAACGAAGCCCAAACGAGAGAUUGAAGUCACCUACACUCGUAGACGUUUGUGACCAGCUUUUUUGGACGCGAGUUCGACUCUCGCCAUCUCCACCU
Molecule: transfer-messenger RNA, 404 nt
Filed under: Anaerolineae bacterium
Lineage: Bacteria; Bacillati; Chloroflexota; Anaerolineae
Rfam family: transfer-messenger RNA
About the family: Bacterial tmRNA, also known as 10Sa RNA or SsrA, is named for its dual tRNA and mRNA-like properties. Its role is to liberate the mRNA from a stalled ribosome.
Source: RNAcentral